RNAcentral lists this small RNA (176 nucleotides) under Intrasporangium chromatireducens. RNAcentral's name for it is "c-di-AMP sequence". The stretch from base 64 to 154 matches the Rfam family "c-di-AMP riboswitch aptamer (ydaO/yuaA leader)", at positions 31 to 113 of the family's 134-position model. Rfam says of the family: This family represents a conserved RNA structure found upstream of the ydaO and yuaA genes in Bacillus subtilis and related genes in other bacteria. Lineage: Bacteria; Bacillati; Actinomycetota; Actinomycetes; Micrococcales; Intrasporangiaceae. The record is from RNAcentral.
UCCCUGAGCGCGCCGAGCCUCGCCAGCCAGGGACAUUGCCCGGGUCCCGGGCACGGGCGAGGACGGGGGAACCACUGUGGCCCCACAAGGGCCUAGGGGUGAGGUCGCGCAAGCGACGGGGCAGCCUGACGCCCCAACCCGACAGCUAACCCCGCAGGCGCCGUCAGGAAGGAACA